AUAGCGGAGGAAAAGAACCCAACAGGGAUUCCCCUAGUAACGGCGAGUGAAGCGGGAACAGCUCAAAUUUGAAAUCUGGCCUUCGGGUCCGAGUUGUAAUUUGCAGAGGAUGCUUUUGGUGCGGUGCCUUCCGAGUUCCCUGGAACGGGACGCCUUAGAGGGUGAGAGCCCCGUACGGUUGGCCACCAAGCCUGUGUAAAGCUCCUUCGACGAGUCGAGUAGUUUGGGAAUGCUGCUCAAAAUGGGAGGUAUAUUUCUUCUAAAGCUAAAUACUGGCCAGAGACCGAUAGCGCACAAGUAGAGUGAUCGAAAGAUGAAAAGCACUUUGAAAAGAGGGUUAAAUAGCACGUGAAAUUGUUGAAAGGGAAGGAUUUAUGACCAGACUUUUUCUAGGGGGAUCAUCCGGCGUUCUCGCCGGUGCACUUCCCCUAGUUGAGGCCAGCAUCGGUUUUCCCAGGGGGAUAAAAGCUUCGGGAAUGUGGCUCCUUCGGGAGUGUUAUAGCCCGUUGCAUAAUACCCUUGGGGGGACCGAGGUUCGCGCAUCUGCAAGGAUGCUGGCGUAAUGGUUAUUAAUCACCCGUCUUGAAACACGGACCAAGGAGUCGAACAUUUGUGCGAGUGGUUUGGGUGUUAAACCCUCACGCGUAAUGAAAGUGAACGGAGGUGAGAGCCCUUCGGGGUGCAUCAUCGACCGAUCCUGAUGUCUUCGGAUGGAUUUGAGUAAGAGCAUAACUGUUCGGACCCGAAAGAUGGUGAACUAUGCGUGGAUAGGGUGAAGCCAGAGGAAACUCUGGUGGAGGYUCGCAGCGGUUCUGACGUGCAAAUCGAUCGUCAAAUCUGCGCAUGGGGGCGAAAGACUAAUCGAACAUCUAGAGCUGGGUACCGCAG
RNAcentral lists this ribosomal RNA (888 nucleotides) under Apiospora mukdahanensis. RNAcentral describes it as "partial large subunit ribosomal RNA". The record is from RNAcentral. Lineage: Eukaryota; Fungi; Ascomycota; Sordariomycetes; Amphisphaeriales; Apiosporaceae.